GGAUUUUGCGAAUAAAUCACAUCUUACACACACACACACACACAUGGUGAAUUAAAAAACUUAAAUACCCAAAAAAAUCUCCAUAUAACUAUACAAAAUUUCAAGUAUUCAGGCUGCUUCUACUGGCACCAACAACGUACACCCGGAGCCAUAAUUUAGUCAUGUGAACAUCCAUAUACAAAUAGAUAGAUACAUACUGACUUCUCAAAACAUAAUAGAAUGUGU
This 225-nucleotide long non-coding RNA is filed under the name Physcomitrium patens. RNAcentral describes it as "long non-coding RNA (PPAT_LNC004806)". The record is from RNAcentral. Lineage: Eukaryota; Viridiplantae; Streptophyta; Bryopsida; Funariales; Funariaceae.